GAUGAACGCUAGCGGCAGGCUUAACACAUGCAAGUCGAGGGGUAGAGGUUGCUUGCAACCUUGAGACCGGCGCACGGGUGCGUAACGCGUAUGCAACCUACCUUUUACAGAGGGAUAGCCCAGAGAAAUUUGGAUUAAUACCUCAUAGUAUAUAACCUUCGCAUGUUGGUUAUAUUAAAGUUCCAACGGUAAAAGAUGGGCAUGCGUCCUAUUAGCUAGAUGGUAAGGUAACGGCUUACCAUGGCAACGAUAGGUAGGGGUCCUGAGAGGGAGAUCCCCCAAACUGGGACUGAGACACGGACCAGACUCCUACGGGAGGCAGCAGUGAGGAAUAUUGGACAAUGGGCGCAAGCCUGAUCCAGCCAUGCCGCGUGCAGGAAGAAGCAUCUAUGGUGUGUAAACUGCUUUUGUACAGGAAGAAACACCCCGACGUGUCGGGGCUUGACGGUACUGUAAGAAUAAGGAUCGGCUAACUCCGUGCCAGCCGCCGCAGUAA
Molecule: ribosomal RNA, 496 nt
Filed under: uncultured bacterium
Lineage: Bacteria
Description: partial 16S ribosomal RNA
Rfam family: Bacterial small subunit ribosomal RNA
Source: RNAcentral